This is a long non-coding RNA of Mytilus californianus (California mussel), 375 nucleotides long. RefSeq lists it as uncharacterized. The transcript is spliced from 3 exons. The record is from RefSeq and is a predicted model, not a curated record. NCBI's taxonomy places the organism in Eukaryota, Metazoa, Mollusca, Bivalvia, Mytilida, Mytilidae.
GUAUGAAUACGUUCUGGAUCAUGGUAGGGGUCGUAUUGACGAUUUUGACAACAGGCUUCUUAACAAUCUCACUGACAAUCAGGUCUAAACAGAAGGAAUCUGGUUCUCGGGAUAUCCAAAUACACAUUGAGAGUCCUCCAAAUGAUGACAGAUAUUUGGACUUAGCAAUAGAUCUACAAGAUGAAGUACAUUCAUAUGACACUACUGGUCGCCCCUACGAAGAUCCUGUGCCAUACCUACAAACGAGGGUUUACAAUUACACAUCGCCGGAUUACCUCGAUGUUCAACCAGAUUUAGACGAUAGUAGCACUAACAGUGAUCAGUAUGAAAAAGUGGAUUAAUACGAAGAAAAGGAAUGUUUAGCGGUUUUGAAAA